Molecule: long non-coding RNA, 832 nt
Filed under: Homo sapiens (human)
Lineage: Eukaryota; Metazoa; Chordata; Mammalia; Primates; Hominidae
Description: HSALNT0337171
Source: RNAcentral
CAAUUUGUAUCAUAUUUAGAUAACAUCUUGAAUGUGUAAUUAUUUCUAUUUGACUCAAUGGCCUCGGUUGCUGAUGAGAACCCAAGCUUUGAGAAUCAGAGAUUGGUUCUUUCUUACUAAGUAAAACAAUGCAUUAUUUAUUUUAGAGUUAAUCCAAACUGACAUUUUUAUGACUGCUAUGGACAAAAUGUUUGUAUCUCCCCAAAAUUCAUAUGUUGAAGCCCUAAUCCCCUGUGUGGUUGUUUGGAGAUGAGACCUCUAAGGAAGAAAUUAAGGUUAAGCGAGGUCAUAAUGGUGACAGGCUCUCAUCAAACAGGAUUAGUGUCCUUAUAAAAAGGGACAUCAGAGACCACUGUACUGGCACAUUCUCCAUGUCCAGCCCCUAAACCAAUCCUGCUCACAACUUGAUCUUGGACUUCCAGACUCUGAAAGUCCAGCAAAGACAACUACAUCUAUCUUUGUCCGAUUGGCUCAUAAACAAAGUGGUCAUGGGCAGCAGCGAAGGAAGCUAUGCAUGGGCUAAGCAAUGUUCACUUCCACUCAUCAAAGCUGAUCUGACAACUGCCACUGCUGAGUGCCCAACCUGCUACCUGAGAUGGAUACUGAGCCCCCAGGAGGACCAGCUUGUGACUUGGUAGCAAAAACUCGACUGCCAUGAAACAUUGGGCUCUAAAGGAGAAACAACAAAAGAUACAAAGAGACUGUGGUACAUUUUCUCGUUUAUAUUAAUUUAAAGGGAAAUUGUUUCAUAUGGUUCUGAAACACUAACAAUGCAAUUAAUUCACCAGAAACAGAAAAAAAGUCUUUGUCUUGCUACCAUACUCAAUCAGAU